GGAAUCUUCGGCAAUGGGGGCAGCCCUGACCGAGCAACGCCGCGUGAGUGAAGAAGGUUUUCGGAUCGUAAAGCUCUGUUGUAAGAGAAGAACGUGUGUGAGAGUGGAAAGUUCACACAGUGACGGUAACUUACCAGAAAGGGACGGCUAACUACGUGCCAG
RNAcentral lists this ribosomal RNA (162 nucleotides) under uncultured bacterium. Its description in RNAcentral is "partial 16S rRNA". It matches the Rfam family "Bacterial small subunit ribosomal RNA", at positions 358 to 511 of the family's 1533-position model. The record is from RNAcentral.